RNAcentral lists this ribosomal RNA (232 nucleotides) under uncultured bacterium. RNAcentral's name for it is "partial 16S ribosomal RNA". It matches the Rfam family "Bacterial small subunit ribosomal RNA", at positions 15 to 236 of the family's 1533-position model. The record is from RNAcentral.
GAUCAUGGCUCAGGAUGAACGCUAGCUACAGGCUUAACACAUGCAAGUCGAGGGGAAACGGUAUUGGAAGCUUGCUUCCGAUAGGCGUCGACCGGCGCACGGGUGAGUAACGCGUAUCCAACCUGCCCAUCACUUGGGGAUAACCUUGCGAAAGUAAGACUAAUACCCAAUGAUAUCUCUAGAAGACAUCUGAAGGAGAUUAAAGAUUUAUCGGUGAUGGAUGGGGAUGCGU